Ailuropoda melanoleuca (giant panda) is the source of this 2909-nucleotide long non-coding RNA. RefSeq lists it as uncharacterized. Lineage: Eukaryota; Metazoa; Chordata; Mammalia; Carnivora; Ursidae. The record is from RefSeq and is a predicted model, not a curated record. The transcript has 3 exons.
UCCAUAUGAAGAUGUGAAUUGUAACCUCUAAGAGGAGAAUUUACGGUGGAAAUUUCUCCAAAAUAUUGACCUUCUGUCUUGACUGCCUGGAGAUGUUGUUCCAGAAAGGAUUGAAGGCAGGCAGAAAGCCACGGCUUCCUGUCGGGCUCCCCGGGGGCAAAUGCCUGGCGUGGACAAAGGAAGAUGAUGGCGUAAGGACUGCAAUGCGCAGGCGCCGAAUGCUUCCCACGCGCUGAAGAGCUUUCUGUGGAUUAUUCACUGAAGUCUCAGAGCAACUCUAUGAGGGAGAAAGCUUUGGGAUCAGGACUACCCCUGUCUGAUCAUGGUGACUUCAGUUUUAGAGAAGAACUGUGGUAACCUGCACCCGACCCAUUGGAGAGGACCUUCCUCUGGAGAAAACAGACGCAGGUUGAGUUUUCCGGAGACACCACCACCAGAAUCCCUCUCCUUGUCUUCCAAGUUGUCCCAGAACCAAGAGGCCUGGUGUUAUGGAUUGAAAUGUGUCGCCCAGAAAGUUAUAUUCAAGUCCCAGCUCCAGAACCUGUACGUGACCUCAUUUGGAGAUGGGGUAUUUGCAGUUGUUAUCAAGUUGAGGUCAUCCUGAAUUAGGGUGGGCUCUAAUCCAUAUGAUUGGGGUGUUCAUAGGAGGAAGAGAAAGGACCCAGACACAUAGGGAAGAAGGCUAUGUGAAGGGGAAGAAGACAUUGAGGUAAUGCUGCCACAGGCCAAGGAAUGCUUGGGCUACAGGAAGCUGGACAGCAUGAGGAAGGGUCCCCCCCACCGCCAGAGUCUUCAGAGGGAGCCUGGACUUGCUGACACCUUGACUUCGGACUUCUAGCCUCCAGAACUCUGAGAGAAUAAAUUUACGGUGUUUUAAGCCACCCAGUUGGUGGUAACUUGUUACGACAGGCCAAGAAACAAAUUCACCUGCAAAAGCUUGACUGGCUUUUACUUGCUGGCUGAUGAUUCUUUAGCUUAGGAUUUGGACCCUGUGAAGUUACAGAAAAUGUUCUUUAGACUGACAGGUGUCCUUUGCAGAUAAUUGCAAGGAGGUUGUGAUGUGUGGCACCGCUCAGGGUCGCACGGGGCGAAUGCAACUGAUGCUGGGUGUCACGUGGACCCAAGCUUGCCUGGGGCAGCCCUCACCACGACUGCUGGAACACCUGGUCCCCAAACCUGAGUCUUUCCCUGGGCCAAUAAUUCCAGGGCAUCUGUUCUGUGUACUUUUCUCUCAGACUCUUGGCAUAUAAAUGAACUGUUUAUGGCUUGUAAACUAAAUCUUGCUAGGGCAUCAGUGGCUCCCCGAGUCUCCCAUUACCUAUGAGAAGCUACAGAGUAUAAUGCAGAGAUCUCACUCCUCUCCCCUGCUGUACCAUGGCAGACAUCAGUAAGAGGUCACAACAUACUUCUCUGCUAAGCCUGUGAGAGUCCAGCACUCUAAUUGAACAGAGUUGGCACUUCAAUAUUUAUUCAUUUAUUCAGUAAAUGUUUACAGAGUGCCUAUUAGUGCCAAGCUUAGUGCUUGGAUAUACACUGGUCAGCAACAUAGUCUUGUAGCUUGGGAAUAAACUUUUGUGUCAUCCUGACCUAGUGAGAAGAUCACUUACCUGGAAUCAGAAAUCCUACUACUUGAACCAUGCACUUGACUGGUGUCAGUUUCCUCCUGUAUAAAAUGAGAAGGUUGAGCUAUAUUACUUCUGUGGUUCUUUCCAUCUAAGUUCAAAACUCUGCAUCUGAAGAGCAAACUGAAGACCCAGCAUCUCAACUAAUACCCAAAUCUCCAGUGGUUAGAACUCCAAGCAGAUAGGAGUUACAUGGGCAGAGAGAUGGGGAGACAUCUGGGGAUCGCAGAGCAGAGAGAUGGCAGAGACCUUUGAUCACACCCAGACAAGACAGCACCUUCACCACCUGGGAAUGAACCCUCUGCGUCAGUGGGCAGCCUCCUUUGUCCGUACUCAGAGAUGAAGGAUAGGCACAUGAGGGAGCUCCACGUACAAAAUGAGCUUGGGAACAAGUUAGUCAGUUUCAACAAAAUCAAUGGAGCACGUAGAACUGGAGAAACUAUGGCUUAGACAGCAUAUGUGGAAAAGACUUAGGCGCUGUGGGUAGUUGUCAGCUCAGUAUGAAGCCACUGGAAUCUUAAUUUGUGCCAAUAGAAACAGCAUUCAGGAUGAAGGAAACAAAGGUCAUUUGAUCUAUGCAACUUUGACUGCCCCUAGAAUACCAUAUUCAUUUCUGAAUCCCACAUUUUAAAAGAGAAGGGUGGGUAUGAGUUAAGAAUUAGGUAUUUGAUACUUAACAUCCACUAUUCAUUUUCAUCCUGACAACUCCAUAAUCUAAGACAAUUACCCCUCAUUUUACAGAUGGGGAAAUUGAAGUUACACCAUUCCCCAAGGUUCCACCCCAUUUGGUGGUGGAGCCAGGACUCCAGAGCCUGUGGUCUUUCUGUAGACAAAAGAGAAAGAUCACUUCCAGGCUAAAAGAAGGUGAGAAGGGAUGUCAGGCUUAAGCCUGGUCUUAAAGGAGGGAUAAAUUAGGAAAAAAGUGUGUGUGUGUGUGUGUGUGUGUGUGUGUGUGUGUGUGUGUAACAUGCCAGGGAGAAAAGAAAGUGAGUAGAGGCUUAGAACUAAGAAUCUGAGAGGUUUAUCUGGUGAGUGGAAGGUGAGAAGCACUCACAUUAUUCGUGCAGGGCAGAGGCAGGUAGAAAAGGGUGGGCAGUUUUUGGUCCAGAUUAUAGGAGGUUUUCAAUGCUAGGUUAAAGACUGUGGACUUUACCACUAUAAUGGGAGAUAGUAAAGAUUGAAUAGUGCUUAGGGAAUGUAAUGCUAAGGGGCAGGCUUUGGGAAGAUGAUCUGUUGGCCACAUCCAUGGUGGAUAGGUAGGGACAAAAGAGGCUAUGGUAAGCAGAA